AGAGUUUGAUCCUGGCUCAGAAUGAACGCUGGCGGCGUGCUUAACACAUGCAAGUCGAACGAGAAAGCCGAAAGCUUGCUUUUGGCGAGUAAAGUGGCGCACGGGUGAGUAACGCGUGGGUAAUCUACCUUUGAAUUUGGGAUAACACUUCGAAAGGAGUGCUAAUACCGGAUAAUAUCUUUUUCAUUGCGGUGGGAAAGAUCAAAGAUGGCCUCUUCUUGAAAGCUAUUGUUUGAAGAUGAGCCCGCGUACCAUUAGCUUGUUGGUGGGGUAAUGGCCUACCAAGGCGACGAUGGUUAGCUGGUCUGAGAGGAUGAUCAGCCACACUGGAACUGGAACACGGUCCAGACUCCUACAGGAGGCAGCAGUGAGGAAUUUUGCGCAAUGGGGGAAACCCUGACGCAGCAACGCCGCGUGAGUGAUGAAGGCUUUCGGGUCGUAAAGCUCUGUCAAGUGGGAAGAAGUUGUGUAUGGCUAAUAUCUGUGCACAUUGACGGUACCACUGAAGGAAGCACCGGCUAACUCCGUGCCAGCAUCCGCGGU
This 543-nucleotide ribosomal RNA is filed under the name uncultured bacterium. Its description in RNAcentral is "bacterial SSU rRNA". It matches the Rfam family "Bacterial small subunit ribosomal RNA", at positions 8 to 521 of the family's 1533-position model. The record is from RNAcentral.